UACGGAGGGGGCAAGCGUUGUUCGGAAUCAUUGGGCGUAAAGAGUAUGUAGGCGGCUAUUUAAGUCAGGCGUGCAAGCCCACGGCUCAACCGUGGAAUUGCGUCUGAAACUAUUUAGCUUGAGUUCAGGAGAGGAAGGCGGAAUUCCCAGUGUAGCGGUGAAAUGCAUUGAUAUUGGGAAGAACACCAGUGGCGAAGGCGACUCUCUGGACCGUUUCUGACGCUAAGGCUCGAAAGCGUGGGUAGCAAACAGG
Molecule: ribosomal RNA, 253 nt
Filed under: uncultured bacterium
Lineage: Bacteria
Description: partial 16S ribosomal RNA
Rfam family: Bacterial small subunit ribosomal RNA
Source: RNAcentral